ACAAAAAAUGAAAGAAUGAAAAUGUUUAUUCGAUGUUUAUUUUUUGCUCAACCUGGUAACCGGUAACCGAUGGCUGGCACAUGUACAGCACAUACAGGGAGGCAGAGCAGCAGCACAGGUGUGCAAAAUGAUUGUAAAUCAAUAAAGCAGCCAAAGGGAAGUGCAAAAUUGCAAAAUAAAUGAAGACAAAUUGAAUGAAAUUUUUGUACGAGAACUUUGUUGCAGAAUAAUUUUGCUGGGAACGUGGAAAGGUGUGCAUCAAUCAAUCAAUGGCCGAGAAUUUCGAAUGUUUUUGUUACAUAUACUAUGUACUUUGAGCACACUCUCGUUCCCCCGUUAUGAUUUUGAUAGACAGACGGAUUUAAUUUACAGAUUAUACACACAGUUGACUCUGUCUGCUCCUCUGAAAUGUUGAUUUUGCAAUUGCUUGUGGCAAAAAUAAAUGAUUUAAUUGCUUAAUAUAUGUAAAUUGCCCAUUUAUUAGAAAUGCUUCAUUUGACUUCCAUUUGAUUUGCGAAAACAAUUUACUCAUUAAAUGACUAAACACUCGCGGCCCAUCAAAUUAUCAACGGUCUCAAAACAUAUUGAGAUAUUCGCAAAGCUCAUAAAAUCAGAUAGAAGUGAUUCAUUGUUUCAAUUUGUUCGGCAGUCAGUCGGCUUUUAGCUUCAGAAAGCGCUCAAAUAGAGAGAUAAUAUUCAAAUUGAGUUGCCGGUUUGGUAUUUCCGCUAAACGCUACAAAACCGACACACAAACCAGUAAAAAAAAUCAAGAAAAAUAAACACCCAGAGUAACAGCUUCCCCAUUCGUGAGUCAUUGCCGGCAGUGCAAUUACACUGCCGUCUAAAAGUUAAGGCACGCUAAAAACCACAAACAUCUCUAUAUGCUAGCAAUUAGCCAAGUUGAUCUAAUAACCACACAGAGGAGGACAUACUACUUGUACUCAAAUGUUGUUGCCAAUGCAAACAUUUUCCACUUGGCCAAAUCGCGGCCAAGCAAGCAGCAAGCCACAAAACUAGUUUAUGCAACAAAAUACUUAUACUCGUACUAGAAAAAAAAAA
Molecule: long non-coding RNA, 1059 nt
Organism: Drosophila guanche
Lineage: Eukaryota; Metazoa; Arthropoda; Insecta; Diptera; Drosophilidae
Exons: 2
Source: RefSeq, a predicted model, not a curated record